CCUACGGGUGGCAGCAGUGAGGAAUAUUGGUCAAUGGGCGUAAGCCUGAACCAGCCAAGUCGCGUGAGGGAUGAAGGUUCUAUGGAUCGUAAACCUCUUUUAUAAGGGAAUAAAGUGCGGGACGUGUCCCGUUUUGUAUGUACCUCAUGAAUAAGGAUCGGCUAACUCCGUGCCAGCAGCCGCGGUAAUACGGAGGAUCCGAGCGUUAUCCGGAUUUAUUGGGUUUAAAGGGUGCGUAGGCGGCCUUUUAAGUCAGCGGGGAAAGUCUGUGGCGCAACCAUAGAAUUGCCGUUGAAACUGGGAGGCUUGAGUAUGUUUGAGGCAGGCGGAAGGCGUGGUGUAGCGGUGAAAUGCUUAGAUAUCACGCAGAACCCCGAUUGCGAAGGCAGCCUGCCAAGCCAUGACUGACGCUGAUGCACGAAAGCGUGGGGAUCAAACAGGAUUAGAUACCCGUGUAGUC
Molecule: ribosomal RNA, 460 nt
Filed under: uncultured bacterium
Lineage: Bacteria
Description: partial 16S ribosomal RNA
Rfam family: Bacterial small subunit ribosomal RNA
Source: RNAcentral